UACGUAGGGUGCGAGCGUUGUCCGGAAUUAUUGGGCGUAAAGAGCUCGUAGGCGGCUUGUUGCGUCGGUUGUGAAAGCCCGGGGCUUAACCCCGGGUCUGCAGUCGAUACGGGCAGGCUAGAGUGUGGUAGGGGAGAUCGGAAUUCCUGGUGUAGCGGUGAAAUGCGCAGAUAUCAGGAGGAACACCGGUGGCGAAGGCGGAUCUCUGGGCCAUUACUGACGCUGAGGAGCGAAAGCGUGGGGAGCGAACAGG
RNAcentral lists this ribosomal RNA (253 nucleotides) under uncultured bacterium. Its description in RNAcentral is "partial 16S ribosomal RNA". It matches the Rfam family "Bacterial small subunit ribosomal RNA", at positions 524 to 776 of the family's 1533-position model. The record is from RNAcentral.